RNAcentral lists this ribosomal RNA (402 nucleotides) under uncultured bacterium. RNAcentral's name for it is "bacterial SSU rRNA". It matches the Rfam family "Bacterial small subunit ribosomal RNA", at positions 355 to 774 of the family's 1533-position model. The record is from RNAcentral.
UGGGGAAUCUUGCACAAUGGGGGCAACCCUGAUGCAGCGACGCCGCGUGAGCGAUGAGGCCCUUCGGGGCGUAAAGCUCUUUCGACCGGAACGAUAAUGACGGUACCGGGAGAAGAAGCUGCGGCUAACUACGUGCCAGCAGCCGCGGUAAUACGUAGGCAGCAAGCGUUGUUCGGAGUUACUGGGCGUAAAGAGUGCGUAGGCGGUUUUCUAAGUUCGGUGUGAAAUCUCCCGGCUUAACUGGGAGGGUGCGCCGAAGACUGGGAAGCUGGAGUGUGGGAAAGGCAGGCGGAAUUCCUGGUGUAGCGGUGAAAUGCGUAGAUAUCAGGAGGAACACCGGCGGUGUAGACGGCUUGCUAAACCAUAACUGACGCUGAGGCACGAAAGCGUGGGUAGCAAACA